Molecule: transfer RNA, 58 nt
Organism: Neotoma lepida (desert woodrat)
Lineage: Eukaryota; Metazoa; Chordata; Mammalia; Rodentia; Cricetidae
Rfam family: tRNA
About the family: Transfer RNA (tRNA) molecules are approximately 80 nucleotides in length. Their secondary structure includes four short double-helical elements and three loops (D, anti-codon, and T loops). Further hydrogen bonds mediate the characteristic L-shaped molecular structure. tRNAs have two regions of fundamental functional importance: the anti-codon, which is responsible for specific mRNA codon recognition, and the 3' end, to which the tRNAs corresponding amino acid is attached (by aminoacyl-tRNA synthetases). tRNAs cope with the degeneracy of the genetic code in two manners: having more than one tRNA (with a specific anti-codon) for a particular amino acid; and 'wobble' base-pairing, i.e. permitting non-standard base-pairing at the 3rd anti-codon position.
Source: Rfam
UGGCUCAGUGGUUAAGAGCACUGGCUGCUCUUCCAGAGGACCUGGGUUCAAUUCCCAG